UACGUAGACCUCAAGCGUUAUCCGGAUUUAUUGGGCGUAAAGCGCGUGUAGGAGGUUUCGCGCGUCUUCUGUUAAAGCCCACCGCCCAACGGUGGAAGUGCAGGAGAUACGGCGGGACUAGAGGAGGUUAGAGGUGCAUGGAACUCACGGUGUAGGGGUGAAAUCCGUUGAUAUCGUGGGGAACACCGAAGGCGAAGGCAAUGCACUGGGACCUUCCUGACUCUGAGACGCGAAAGCGUGGGGAGCAAAAAGGAUUAGAUACCCUUGUAGUCCACGCCCUAAACGAUGCCUGUUUGCUGUUUCGAGUAUCGACCCUCGGAGUGGCGUAGCUAACGCGUUAAACAGGCCGCCUGGGAGGUACGAGCGCAAGCUUAAAACUCAAAGGAAUAGACGGGGACUCGCACAAGCGGUGGAACAUGUGGUUUAAUUCGUCAGCAAGCGAGGAACCUUACCAGGGUUAGAAAUCUAAGAUGACAGGCGAUGGAAACAUUGCCCUUCUCACAAGGACAUCUUGGACAGGUGCUGCAUGGUUGUCGUCAGCUCGUGCUUUGAAGUGUUCCCUUAAGUGGGGUAACGAGCGCAACCCCUACUACGCGUUACAAGUGUCGCGUGGAACUGCCCCCGCUCAAGGAAAAGAGGAUGGAUAUAGUGUAGAAUUCCAUUUUCGUUUCUUUUAGCGGGGGAGGAAGGAGGGGAUGACGUCAAAUCAGCAUGGCCCUUUGAUACCCUGGGCUACACACGUGUUACAAUGGCAGCGACAAUGGGUCGCCAACCCGUAAGGGGGAGCUAAUCCCAUCAAACGUUGCCUCAGUUCGGAUUGAGGGCUGCAACCUGCCCUCAUGAAGCCGGAAUCGCUAGUAAUCGCAGAUCAGCCACGCUGCGGUGAAUACGUUCUCGAGUCC
RNAcentral lists this ribosomal RNA (902 nucleotides) under uncultured bacterium. RNAcentral's name for it is "bacterial SSU rRNA". It matches the Rfam family "Bacterial small subunit ribosomal RNA", at positions 524 to 1381 of the family's 1533-position model. The record is from RNAcentral.